CAGUCAUUCCAUUAGUUUAAUACUGAGUUGUUCAGAAACUUCUCAGUCAGUAACAUGAAGAUCCAUUCCUGAAAAGCACUCAAACUGGACUUGAAUUUUUAAAAAAUGAAGAGUAGAAUUAGCAUAAAAUAUUAAAGAACCUCAUCAUUAAAAUUAUAUAACGAGACACUUACUUGUUUUCAAAUGCAACUGUUAUUGAAUCUUCAUGAACAUCCUUUACAAAUGCCUUGUAGAAAGCGCCAUUGGAGCCCCGCACUUCCACCACCAGCUCCUCCAUCUUCUCUUCAGCCCUGCUAGCGCCGGGAGCCCGCCCCCGAGAGGUGGGCUGCGGGCGCUCGAGGCCCAGCCGCCGCCGCCGCCGCCGCCGCCGCCGCCUCCGCCGCCGCCGCCGCCGCCGCCGCCGCCGCGCUGCCGCACGCCCCCUGGCAGCGGCGCCUCCGUCACCGCCGCCGCCCGCGCUCGCCGUCGGCCCGCCGCCCGCUCAGAGGCGGCCCUCCACCGGAAGUGAAACCGAAACGGAGCUGAGCGCCUGACUGAGGCCGAACCCCCGGCCCGCUGCGGGUGUAAACACUGAAACCACGUCACGUGAUCAACGCUGUUCCCUCCCCCCGCGGGCUCAGCCCCUCGGCCCCGCCCUCUCUCUUCAAGUGGCCUGGGAGCGCGCGCAUGCGCGCUGCUGGGAACCGGCCGGGGUGCCGGGUCGAAAGACAGACGCGCGGGCCGGGCGUGCGCGGGCUUGGUGGAGGGCGGGAAGGCUGAAGGGCGGUGACAGGUCGCACUGCCUCGCGAGGGCCAGAACGCCCAUUUCUGCAGAGGCAGAAGGUGAGGCGUCUACGCCCUCUCUCACCAGAUUUUGGGCGGCCCUGUGGAGACACCCUGUGCCCUUUAAGGGACAUGGAUUGAGUCGGGAUCUCAAAAUCUGCCUUAAUCCAUGUUCCCUUCGGGAUGCUGGUAUCCAACUGAGAAGUUGACGGAGCAUCUAUCGUGUGCCAGACACUGUGCUAAGUGCUAACGAGAAAUCGGUGAGCAAAACAGAAAAGAAAAAAAAAGAAGAAACGACUGCCAGCAUUGAACUUAGUACCUAGCAAAGUAGGUGGACAUAAAUCAAAUUGUCAGACAAGUAAAUGAGUAGUUGCAGCUGUGAUAAGGGGUAUGAAGAAUAGGCGCUUCCAUGAUGGCGGAACAUGACCUAGUCUGGGGUGGAGAAGGGGAGAUGAUUCCAGCUGGAAUAUGGCAGGUGAGAGUUAACUAAUAGCACUGAGUUGGCAGAGGCAGGAUGACCUGCCCCAGGCAGGUGCCCCAGAAUGAGAGGAUGUUGCUGCUGGUGGAACUCCAGCUUUAAAGCGGUGGAUCUAGGGCCACAUUCCUCAAGGCCAUAGCAAACAGGAAAGACCUUUUGGACUAGGGUCUUUGGAGUAGUCACAUGAGGCCAAGAACCCAAUAGGGCUGAAAGAGAAUCUCAUCAUAGGCUGAAUGGGAGCAGAGCAUUAGCUGCAACUCCAAUGUAUUAUAGUAAAAGGGGACACAUUGAUUAGAAUGAUUAUACCCCUCCAAGUGUAAGCUGUUGUUCAAUUUACCCAGGGCUUAAAAAUAUGUCAACUCUUCACAACCAUUUUUACUACAAGCCACACUCAACCUGUGUUGUUCCCUGAACCUGUGAUGCACUUUCAUCCGUUCAUGUCUCUACACAUCCUUCCUGGGCCCCAUAGAGGCCCUGCACCUUAAGGUUUUCAGCUGGAUUCCUAUUAGCUAGUUAUUUUAUCUCAGGUACAGAGAGUUAACUUUGCUCCUCAAUUUUCAGCACAUUGUCAUAUCAGUCCCUACAGGGUCCUUGUUUACAUUAUUUUAUAGUGUUUAUAUUAUUUUUUCCUCAUCUUUCUCGAUCCCCACUCUCAUUCUUCUAGACACAAGCUGCAAUAUGUUCGAUAGAGAUCCUUGAUAAUUUAACACAGAUAAUGUUUUGUUUAUGCCUCUUGCAUUUACAGAGAUGGUAUUGGACUGUAAAUCUCUAUUUCCCACUGUUUUACUCAACAGUCUGUUUUUGAGCUAUACCCACAUUGCUGUGUGUACACCUAGUUUGCUACCGAGUAUGCCAGAAAUUUUAUUCAUACAUAUCCCUACUGAUCGGGCAUCUAGGUUACUGCCAACUCCCUGAAGUCAUACUGUGGUGAAAACCCUUGUGAAUGUCUUUACAAACCUUUGCCAGAACUUAUUUUGUGCUCUUGUAGAACUUUGUGCAUACCCUCUGCUUCCUCAUUACACUGCUUGGCAUAUAGCAGAGACUCAACAAAUGUUGAAUACCUCUACUAUGAUGGUUAGUGUACUAGAAUAAUUUAUUUAUAUUUCUGUUUUCCUUAUUGGAUUAUUAGUACCUUCCAGACAGGGCAAAUGUCUUUUCUAUCUUUGUGUCCCUGGCACAUUAAAAGUGGUUGAUUUCAAGGUAUGUUCAAUGAAUGAAUAAAUACUUAUCUUCACUGCCAGUAC
Molecule: long non-coding RNA, 2484 nt
Filed under: Homo sapiens (human)
Lineage: Eukaryota; Metazoa; Chordata; Mammalia; Primates; Hominidae
Description: non-protein coding FMR1-AS1:6
Source: RNAcentral